RNAcentral lists this ribosomal RNA (539 nucleotides) under uncultured bacterium. RNAcentral's name for it is "bacterial SSU rRNA". It matches the Rfam family "Bacterial small subunit ribosomal RNA", at positions 356 to 896 of the family's 1533-position model. The record is from RNAcentral.
GAGGAAUAUUGGUCAAUGGACGGAAGUCUGAACCAGCCAAGUAGCGUGCAGGAUGACGGCCCUAUGGGUUGUAAACUGCUUUUGUAUGGGGAUAAAGUCAAUCACGUGUGAUUGUUUGCAGGUACCAUACGAAUAAGGACCGGCUAAUUCCGUGCCAGCAGCCGCGGUAAUACGGAAGGUCCAGGCGUUAUCCGGAUUUAUUGGGUUUAAAGGGAGCGUAGGCGGAUUGUUAAGUCAGCGGUUAAAGGGUGUGGCUCAACCAUGCAUUGCCGUUGAAACUGGCGAUCUUGAGUGCAGACAGGGAUGCCGGAAUUCGUGGUGUAGCGGUGAAAUGCUUAGAUAUCACGAAGAACUCCGAUCGCGAAGGCAGGUGUCCGGGCUGCAACUGACGCUGAGGCUCGAAAGUGUGGGUAUCAAACAGGAUUAGAUACCCUGGUAGUCCACACAGUAAACGAUGUAUACUCGCGGUUUGCGAUAGACAGUAAGCCGCCAAGCGAAAGCAUUAAGUAUACCACCUGGGGAGUACGCCGGCAACGGUG